Molecule: ribosomal RNA, 646 nt
Filed under: bacterium HN1-10-17
Lineage: Bacteria
Also listed under: 8 other names
Description: bacterial SSU rRNA
Rfam family: Bacterial small subunit ribosomal RNA
Source: RNAcentral
CCUACGGGAGGCAGCAGUAGGGAAUCUUCCGCAAUGGACGAAAGUCUGACGGAGCAACGCCGCGUGAGCGAUGAAGGCCUUCGGGUCGUAAAGCUCUGUUGUUAGGGAAGAAUAAGUGCUAGUUGAAUAAGCUGGCACCUUGACGGUACCUAACCAGAAAGCCACGGCUAACUACGUGCCAGCAGCCGCGGUAAUACGUAGGUGGCAAGCGUUGUCCGGAAUUAUUGGGCGUAAAGCGCGCGCAGGCGGUUUCUUAAGUCUGAUGUGAAAGCCCCCGGCUCAACCGGGGAGGGUCAUUGGAAACUGGGAAACUUGAGUGCAGAAGAGGAAAGUGGAAUUCCAAGUGUAGCGGUGAAAUGCGUAGAGAUUUGGAGGAACACCAGUGGCGAAGGCGACUUUCUGGUCUGUAACUGACGCUGAGGCGCGAAAGCGUGGGGAGCAAACAGGAUUAGAUACCCUGGUAGUCCACGCUGUAAACGAUGAGUGCUAAGUGUUAGAGGGUUUCCGCCCUUUAGUGCUGAAGUUAACGCAUUAAGCACUCCGCCUGGGGAGUACGGUCGCAAGACUGAAACUCAAAGGAAUUGACGGGGGCCCGCACAAGUGGUGGAGCAUGUGGUUUAAUUCGAAGCAACGCGAAGAACCUUAC